This 497-nucleotide ribosomal RNA is filed under the name uncultured bacterium. RNAcentral's name for it is "bacterial SSU rRNA". It matches the Rfam family "Bacterial small subunit ribosomal RNA", at positions 29 to 526 of the family's 1533-position model. The record is from RNAcentral.
AACGAACGCUGGCGGCGUGCCUAACACAUGCAAGUCGAGCGCGAAAUCUCUUUCGGGAGUGAGUAGAGCGGCGGACGGGUGAGUAAUACAUGGGUAAUCUGCCCUCGAGCUUGGGAUAACCCCGCGAAAGUGGGGCUAAUACCUGAUAAGACCACGCAACUUAAGUUGUGCGGUAAAAGGUGGCCUGUAUUUAUACAUGCUAUCACUUGAGGAUGAGCCCGUGGCCUAUCAGCUUGUUGGUGAGGUAAGAGCUUACCAAGGCUAUGACGGGUAGCUGGUCUGAGAGGACGACCAGCCACACUGGGACUGAGACACGGCCCAGACUCCUACGGGAGGCAGCAGUGGGGAAUAUUGGGCAAUGGGCGAAAGCCUGACCCAGCGACGCCGCGUGGGUGAUGAAGGCCUCGGUUGUAACUCCUGUCUUCUUGGGACGAAUAAUGACGGUACCAGAGGAGGAAGACCACGGCUAACUAACGUGCCAGCAGCCGCGGUAAUCU